UACGAAGGGGGCUAGCGUUGUUCGGAAUUACUGGGCGUAAAGGGCGCGUAGGCGGCGUGUCAAGUCAGGCGUGAAAGCCCCGGGCUCAACCUGGGAACUGCAUUGGAAACUAACGGGCUCGAGUGUGGCAGAGGGGGGUGGAAUUCCACGUGUAGCAGUGAAAUGCGUAGAGAUGUGGAGGAACACCGAUGGCGAAGGCAGCCCCCUGGGCUAACACUGACGCUCAGGCACGAAAGCGUGGGGAGCAAACAGG
RNAcentral lists this ribosomal RNA (253 nucleotides) under uncultured bacterium. RNAcentral describes it as "partial 16S ribosomal RNA". It matches the Rfam family "Bacterial small subunit ribosomal RNA", at positions 524 to 776 of the family's 1533-position model. The record is from RNAcentral.